GCCGAAGUGGUGGAAUUGGUAGACACGCUAGGUUCAGGGUCUAGUGGGGGCAACCUCGUGGGAGUUCAAAUCUCCCCUUCGGCACCA
Molecule: transfer RNA, 87 nt
Filed under: Deltaproteobacteria bacterium
Lineage: Bacteria; Pseudomonadati; Myxococcota; Myxococcia
Description: tRNA-Leu
Rfam family: tRNA
About the family: Transfer RNA (tRNA) molecules are approximately 80 nucleotides in length. Their secondary structure includes four short double-helical elements and three loops (D, anti-codon, and T loops). Further hydrogen bonds mediate the characteristic L-shaped molecular structure. tRNAs have two regions of fundamental functional importance: the anti-codon, which is responsible for specific mRNA codon recognition, and the 3' end, to which the tRNAs corresponding amino acid is attached (by aminoacyl-tRNA synthetases). tRNAs cope with the degeneracy of the genetic code in two manners: having more than one tRNA (with a specific anti-codon) for a particular amino acid; and 'wobble' base-pairing, i.e. permitting non-standard base-pairing at the 3rd anti-codon position.
Source: RNAcentral